UUCCGGUUGAUCCUGCGGAGGUCACUGCUAUCGGGGUUCCGAUUAAGCCAUGCGAGUUGAGAGGGUUUAGACCCUCGGCGGACUGCUCAGUAACACGUGGAUAACCUGCCCUAAGGUGGAGGAUAACCCCGGGAAACUGGGGAUAAUACUCCAUAGAUCAGAGUAACUGGAAUGUUUUCUGGUCGAAAGUUCCGGCGCCUUAGGAUGGAUCUGCGGCCGAUUAGGUAGUUGUUGGGGUAACGGCCCAACAAGCCAGUCAUCGGUACGGGUUGUGGGAGCAAGAGCCCGGAGAUGGAAUCUGAGACACGAUUCCAGGCCCUACGGGGCGCAGCAGGCGCGAAAACUUUACAAUGCAGGAAACUGUGAUAAGGGAACCCCGAGUGCUCGUACACGCGAGCUGUCCAGGUGUGUAAAAAGCAUCUGAAGAAAGGGCCGGGCAAGACCGGUGCCAGCCGCCGCGGUAAUACCGGCGGCUCGAGUGGUGGCCACUAUUAUUGGGCUUAAAGCGUUCGUAGCUGGACUCUUAAGUCUCCUGGGAAAUCCGCCGGCUCAACCGGCGGGCGUCCAGGAGAUACUGGGAGUCUUGGAACCGGAAGAGGUAAGAGUACUUCGGGGUAGGAGUGAAUCCUGUAAUCCUCGAGGGA
This 644-nucleotide ribosomal RNA is filed under the name uncultured archaeon. RNAcentral's name for it is "bacterial SSU rRNA". It matches the Rfam family "Archaeal small subunit ribosomal RNA", at positions 1 to 656 of the family's 1478-position model. The record is from RNAcentral.